Syngnathus acus (greater pipefish) is the source of this 1161-nucleotide long non-coding RNA. RefSeq lists it as uncharacterized. Lineage: Eukaryota; Metazoa; Chordata; Actinopteri; Syngnathiformes; Syngnathidae. The transcript is spliced from 2 exons. The record is from RefSeq and is a predicted model, not a curated record.
CUCAAAGUCAACAAAAGAUGCGACAUGUGGGAGCAGCGAGCGAGGCUGUCAGCGUACACUUGGUGUCAAUGAAAGCGGAGGGGAAAGAGAGGAAACACGAGGCUGCGACACUCCCGCGGAUCAAGCGCAAAUUUGGAGGCAGUCCUCGGCUACAGCGACUGCGUGCGGCUCCUCGGCAGCUCCAGCUCGCGUGGUUUGCGCUCUUUUCUUCCCAGAGGAAUCACUUUAGACCUUCCGUGGCACGCUGUAGAGGAGUGGGCGAGAGAGGCGUGGCCUACAAGGAGAACAGCAACGCCCCUCCAAACACGGUUAAUAAGACGGACAAUCAGCUGUCCACCAAUUAGACCAGUUCAGCAUUCUGCUAUAUGCCCCCACCCACGCCAGGCCCCCCAAAAUUCCCCUUCCCGAUAUCCACCACUUGCAAUGUCCCGCCCCUGGCACUCCGUGCACGGUGCGAGCGUCCGUGCCCACUGCGCGCAUGUUCUGGGUGUCCAUGUGCGUGGCGGAUUUGCUUGUGACUAUCUACACAAGGCAUUUGUGUAACCUCCUGUGCACGUUUGAGUCCAUAUGCACGGAGAAAAAACAUCACAGGGAAUGAUUGAAAUUGUGUCCAUUAGAAACAGGAAAAUUAGAGAAGCUAAAUUUUAGUUGAAUAAUACAUUUGUGCAAAUUAGUUAUACAGUUUAUUUUUAAUUUGUGAUACGUAUUAUAUUGUGCAUUAUUUAUGAUUGAAUAGUCUUGGAUGGAAAGGACAAGAAGCGCAUAAAAAACCUUGCAUGAAUAUGCAAUCAUUAAAAAAAACAAAAGGCAACAAAGUCGCUGUGCACAUUUUUUCAGUUUCAAAUAUGACGGCGAGAGAACAGAGAGCUUCGAUUUGAUGCACGGCAUAAAUCAUUUGGGACCAAGUGGUGACUGCAACAUGAAUGUGAGGAUUACAGCUCAUCUGUGGUGCGUCUUCGAGUUGUCCCACAGCAUCGCCACAAGCCAAGAAAUAAGUGCAGACACGGAAUAACAAGAAAGAAAUGCAUCACACUUGAUGUGCACAACAUUCCAUACUGAUUUCCUGUAUUAUGAUUUGACUCUGGCCAUAAAAGCCUGAAUGAGAGCCCUGCAGCAAUGAAUUUGGCUUUAAAUAAUAAAUAAAUAAUAAUACAGUACCUA